GUUUAUGUAGUUUAAAAAAAACAAAUUAUUUUCAAUAAUUAGAAAAAAAAAUAUUUCUUAAACU
Molecule: transfer RNA, 64 nt
Filed under: Nilaparvata lugens (brown planthopper)
Lineage: Eukaryota; Metazoa; Arthropoda; Insecta; Hemiptera; Delphacidae
Description: tRNA-Glu
Source: RNAcentral